This 253-nucleotide ribosomal RNA is filed under the name uncultured bacterium. RNAcentral describes it as "partial 16S ribosomal RNA". It matches the Rfam family "Bacterial small subunit ribosomal RNA", at positions 524 to 776 of the family's 1533-position model. The record is from RNAcentral.
UACGUAGGGUGCAAGCGUUGUCCGGAAUUUUUGGGCGUAAAGAGCUCGUAGGCGGUCCGUCGCGUCGAAUGUGAAAACCCGGGGCUCAACCCCGGGCCUGCAUUCGAUACGGGCGGACUAGAGUUCGGUAGGGGAGACUGGAAUUCCCGGUGUAGCGGUGAAAUGUGUAGAGAUCGGGAGGAACACCGGUGGCGAAGGCGGGUCUCUGGGCAACUCCUGACGCUGAGGCGCGAAAGCGUGGGGAGCAAACGGG